AUGUGGUAUGAGCUCAAAAAUCUAUGCAGUAAAUUAGUUUUAAACGAUCAAGAGGAUAGAUGUAGCUGGCUGCUAACUAAAUCUGGUAGAUUCACUGUUAGAUCUUUGUACCUUGCUUUAAAAACAGAUCAUGCUGCCUGGCCUCAUAGGAAACUGUGGAGGGCGAGGAUACCGCUGAAAGUUAAAGUUUUCCUGUGGUUGAUGUUUAAGAAUAGUGUCCUAACUAGAGAUAAUUUGGCAAAAAGAAACUGGAAAGGAAAGGACAAAAACUGUAGUUUAUGUGAUUACCCAGAAACGGUUGAUCAUCUUUUCUGUACAUGUGUGGUGGCUAAUUUUGUGUGGGGUGUGGUUAGGAAUGUAAUUGGAAUUCAUGACAUUCCAUGCAAGAUAGAAGAGUUUACUGCCUGGGUAGAAAAAUUUCCUAAGAAUAUUAGGCAAACAAUAGCAGUGGGUGUUUCUGCGGUGUUUUGGACUUUGUGGAAUGCCAGAAAUGCUGCUACAUUUCAUCAUGUUACCCGCAUGACCCUAGUAUGUUGUUCUUUCAAAUCUCUUAUUGGAUGUCUUACUAGGCUGGUCUACAGAGAAAAGAAGGGCAACUGA
RNAcentral lists this ribosomal RNA (600 nucleotides) under Triticum aestivum (bread wheat). RNAcentral describes it as "partial small subunit ribosomal RNA". Lineage: Eukaryota; Viridiplantae; Streptophyta; Magnoliopsida; Poales; Poaceae. The record is from RNAcentral.